GCAGUUUGUAGAGGCUCUGUGGCCCUCGAUGUGCCUGUGCCUACUCUCUCCCUGCCAAGCCUCACAACAGUAUAACCCGGGACCAGGCAGCCUGAAGAUGGUUACUCCCAUUUUACAGAUGAGGAAUCUGAGGUCAGGGAGCACUGUACCACAGGGGCAGCAAGUCAUGGACUUGAGACCUUGGUGAAGGUCUUCGGACCACCUUUUUACACAACACCUUUCUGCACAACAGAGAGAGAAGAAAGGGGAAGGAUGCUGGAAUAGAAGGUACCGGAAUAGGCUCUGUCUUGAGUAAACACAUUUUUUGCUCCAGGCAUCACCAUGAGAAAGACUAAAGGCCUGGAGCAUUUGUGAUGAUACUAGUUAAUUGCCAUUUCUGUUCAAGGGUGCCUGUGCUCAAAAAAUGUCCUCUCAUUAUAACCUGGUGCAGCGUUGAAGGCCCGGCUAAGGGGAAAAACAGAUAAACAAAGCCUGUUAAGUGGAAGGCAGAUUAAGUUGUGUCGAGGAGGGGACCGUCAGAGGCUGUGCUGUUCUUUUUGCUGAAAGUUGAGUGUAUCAACACAUCCAUUAUUCAUGAAAUCUGACACUGAGUUUGAAGCUGUUCUCUUGGAAAGAAUCUCUAAAUUUUAGAUUUUUUAUUGUAUUUUAUUUUUGCUUCUUCUUGGAUCUCAGGGAAAGUAAGCCCGAGGUGCUGGAUGCUUGCCUUUGAAGCAGUCCAUGAAGGUGAAUGAGCAUCAGAAUGACCUCCCAAGCAAAGGCGGCACCAUCAGCAGCAGUGAUGAGCGCUCAUCAUGGUCAUGCCAAAGUCCAGGGGGUCUGGCCCAACUGCAAUAUCCAGAGACUUUUCGGUGUCAUAUGAAAGAAAAGGAGCAGGAAGCCAAGAUGCCCCACCUGGCUUCUACAUCAGGGUGAUCUGCAUAGUAAGAUGCAAAGACACUGACAUAUGCCUGGGGGUAACGAGGGCAGUGGGGGGAGGGAGCUAAGCCAAGAUAAGCCUCCUCCCCACCAAACAUAGGUGCUACUGAGCAAUGAUAGGGGGCAUGCUGUCUGCUCUGGUACUUGCGUAGGGAAUGCUCUGAGAAACCUCACUAAAUCUGCCCUCUAGAGUAGAGCAACCUGGGAGCUCAGGCUUCCCUUUCCUCUGUGUGAUGGGUUGGCGGUCCUUAGAGCCAGCCAUUUCGUCCUGCUCCUUCUCUCCUCCCCUUCCUGACCAAUAAAGAUUGUGUGCUUCUGCCCAGUCAGCAGGGUGGGCUCUCACUCCAUCCUGCCUCUGGUAUGACAGCACAAUUCCCCUCAUUCUUUAUAAUCAUUAUAAAAUAAAAU
Molecule: long non-coding RNA, 1323 nt
Filed under: Homo sapiens (human)
Lineage: Eukaryota; Metazoa; Chordata; Mammalia; Primates; Hominidae
Description: non-protein coding lnc-C5orf58-5:2
Source: RNAcentral